Molecule: ribosomal RNA, 256 nt
Filed under: uncultured archaeon
Lineage: Archaea
Description: partial 16S ribosomal RNA
Rfam family: Bacterial small subunit ribosomal RNA
Source: RNAcentral
UAAUACGUAGGUGGCAAGCGUUAUCCGGAUUUACUGGGUGUAAAGGGCGUGUAGGCGGGAUUGCAAGUCAGAUGUGAAAACCAGGGGCUCAACCUCUGGCCUGCAUUUGAAACUGUAGUUCUUGAGUACUGGAGAGGCAGACGGAAUUCCUAGUGUAGCGGUGAAAUGCGUAGAUAUUAGGAGGAACACCAGUGGCGAAGGCGGUCUGCUGGACAGCAACUGACGCUGAGGCGCGAAAGCGUGGGGAGCAAACAGG